AAGGAGUUGUGGCAGACAAUGGUGUCUUAAUCCUGUGACAAUGGCGUCAGCCUCCGAGCACGGCCAAAGCGUGCGGCCCGAGGACCUGGGCAUUCUUAAGAAUGUGAGUAAGAUACAACAGCCCGGUGCCAGCAGGGACUGCUCAGAUGGCGAGGCUGCUUUCUUUUGCACCUGACACAGAUUGGCAUGCCCACCUGUCUGAGAGAUGAGUAGAGGGCUGUGACCCGCAGAGGGGAUG
This is a long non-coding RNA of Motacilla alba alba, 238 nucleotides long. RefSeq lists it as uncharacterized. The transcript has 3 exons. NCBI's taxonomy places the organism in Eukaryota, Metazoa, Chordata, Aves, Passeriformes, Motacillidae. The record is from RefSeq and is a predicted model, not a curated record.